Molecule: long non-coding RNA, 412 nt
Organism: Herpailurus yagouaroundi (jaguarundi)
Lineage: Eukaryota; Metazoa; Chordata; Mammalia; Carnivora; Felidae
Exons: 3
Source: RefSeq, a predicted model, not a curated record
AAGAACGACGUGAGAUCGCUCUUCAGUCGACUGAGUUAGGGAAGAACAAUACUGCCCACCGAGGUUUGAGGGCUUCUAUUUGGGGAGCACCAGGCUGAGCCACCUUCGGGGCCGGUGCUCCGGCACCCCUGAGCCCGGCCUGGCCCGACACCGUCCGCUCAGAGGCCCGGAGGUGGCCUGGGGUCUUGCAGCUAUGGUGCUGGGAGGAGAGAGCACCUGAAGUCAGGUCUGAGGGAGGAGAGGGGAGUUCACUGUCCUCAUCCAGCACGGUGACAUCUAAAGUGGAAGUGAACAAAAGAGCAAAGAAGACAAUAAUGGAUGUCUCUCUCGGCCUUGGAAAGGGAGGAAAUUCUGACACGCUCCACACCAUGGAUGAAUCUGGAGGACGUUAUGCUACGUGAGGACGAACCCU